UACGGGGGGGGCAAGCGUUGUUCGGAAUUACUGGGCGUAAAGGGCUCGUAGGUGGCCAACUAAGUCGGACGUGAAAUCCCUCGGCUUAACCGGGGAACUGCGUCCGAUACUGGUUGGCUUGAGUUUGGGAGAGGGACGCGGAAUUCCAGGUGUAGCGGUGAAAUGCGUAGAUAUCUGGAGGAACACCGGUGGCGAAGGCGGCAUCCUGGACCGGUAUUGACGCUGAGGAGCGAAAGCCAGGGGAGCAAACGGG
RNAcentral lists this ribosomal RNA (253 nucleotides) under uncultured bacterium. Its description in RNAcentral is "partial 16S ribosomal RNA". It matches the Rfam family "Bacterial small subunit ribosomal RNA", at positions 524 to 776 of the family's 1533-position model. The record is from RNAcentral.